CGGCCGCGUCGACCCGAAAGGGAAAAUAUUUAUAGCCUGAAGAUGAGCUCGCGUCCGAUUAGCUAGUUGGCGGAGUAAAAGCCCACCAAGCUUACGAUCUGUAGCUGGUCUGAGAGGACGACCAGCCACACUGGGACUGAGACACGGCCCAGACUCCUACGGGAGGCAGCAGUGGGGAAUUUUGGACAAUGGGCGAAAGCCUGAUCCAGCCAUGCCGCGUGCAGGAUGAAGGCCUUCGGGUUGUAAACUGCUUUUGUACGGAACGAAAAGACUCUGGUUAAUACCUGGGGUCCAUGACGGUACCGUAAGAAUAAGCACCGGC
RNAcentral lists this ribosomal RNA (322 nucleotides) under uncultured bacterium. Its description in RNAcentral is "bacterial SSU rRNA". It matches the Rfam family "Bacterial small subunit ribosomal RNA", at positions 180 to 497 of the family's 1533-position model. The record is from RNAcentral.